RNAcentral lists this ribosomal RNA (471 nucleotides) under uncultured bacterium. RNAcentral's name for it is "bacterial SSU rRNA". It matches the Rfam family "Bacterial small subunit ribosomal RNA", at positions 28 to 507 of the family's 1533-position model. The record is from RNAcentral.
GAUGAACGCUGGCGGCGUGCCUAAUACAUGCAAGUCGAACGAGGACCCUUUGUAUUCGUACUGAGGACUCCUAGUGGCGAACGGGUGAGUAACGCGUUGGUGACCUGCCCCGAAGAGGGGGAUAACAGCUCGAAAGGGCUGCUAAUACCCCAUGUGGUCACGGAGAUUAGAUGCUUUGUGACUAAAGGGAGCAAUCCGCUUUGGGAGGGGCCUGCGGCCCAUCAGCUAGUUGGUAGGGUAAUGGCCUACCAAGGCUACGACGGGUAGGGGACCUGAGAGGGUGGCCCCCCACACUGGCACUGAAACACGGGCCAGACACCUACGGGUGGCAGCAGUGGGGAAUAUUGCCCAAUGGACGAAAGUCUGAGGCAGCAACGCCGCGUGCGCGAUGAAGGCCUUCGGGUUGUAAAGCGCUUUUCUGGGGGAAGAGGAAGGACGGUCACCCAGGAAUAAGUCUCGGCUAACUACGUG